Molecule: ribosomal RNA, 1450 nt
Filed under: uncultured Bordetella sp.
Lineage: Bacteria; Pseudomonadati; Pseudomonadota; Betaproteobacteria; Burkholderiales; Alcaligenaceae
Description: partial 16S-23S ribosomal RNA intergenic spacer
Rfam family: Bacterial small subunit ribosomal RNA
Source: RNAcentral
AGUUCGAUCCUGGCUCAGAUUGAACGCUGGCGGGAUGCUUUACACAUGCAAGUCGAACGGCAGCACGGACUUCGGUCUGGUGGCGAGUGGCGAACGGGUGAGUAAUGUAUCGGAACGUGCCUAGUAGGGGAUAACUACGCGAAAGCGUAGCCAAUACCGCAUACGCCCUUCGGGGGAAAGCGGGGACCUUCGGGCCUCGCACUAUUAGAGCGGCCGAUAUCGGAUAUUAGUUGGCGGGGUAACGGCUCACCAAGGCGACGAUCCGUAGCUGGUUUGAGAGGACGACCAGCCACACUGGGACUGAGACACGGCCCAGACUCCUACGGGAGGCAGCAGUGGGGAAUUUUGACAAUGGGGAAACCCUGAUCCAGCCAUCCCGCGUGUGCGAUGAAGGCCUUCGGGUUGUAAAAGCACUUUGGCAGGAAGAAUACGGGAUAAAUACCCCGUGCAACUGAUGGUACCUGCAGAAUAAGCACCGGCUAACCACGUGCCAGCAGCCGCGGUAAUACGUAGGGUGCAAGCGUUAAUCGGAAUUACUGGGCGUAAAGCGUGGCAAAGGCGGUUCGGAAGAAAGAGAACCCAGAGCUUAACUUUGGAACUGCAUUUUUAGAACUACUUGUUGGUGUCAGAGGAGGUGGAAUUCCGCGUAGUAGCGGUGGAAUGCGUAGAUAUGCGGAGGAACACCGAUGGCGAAGGCAGCCUCCUUGGGGAUAACACUGAUUGCUCAUGCACGAAAGCGUGGGGAGCAAACAGGACGACUCUGCAGUCCACGCCCAAACGAUACGUUCAGCUGUUGAAGCCUGGGCCUUGGUAGCGCAGCUAACGCGUGAAGUUGACCGCCUGGGGAGUACGGUCGCAAGAUUAAACUCCAAAGGAAUUGACGGGGACCCGCACAAGCGGUGGGACAUGGACACCUGAUGCAACGCGAAAAACCUUACCUACCCUUGACAUGUUCCGGAAUCUGAAGAGAUUUGGGAGGCUCGCAAGAGAACCGGAACACAGGUGCUGCAUGGCUGUCGUCAGCUCGUGUCGUGAGAUGUUGGGUUAAGUCCUGCAACGAGCGCAAACUCCUUUGCCAUUAGUUGCUACAAAGCUGGGCACUGACGCGACUGCCGGGUGACAAACCGGAGAGGCGGGGACGACGUCAGCCCCGCGGCCCUUAUGGGUAGGGCUUGGCACGGUCAUACAAUGGCCGGACAGAGGGUCGCCAACCCGCAGGGGAGCCAAUCCCAGAAACCCGAUCGCCCGGAUCGCAGUUCGCAACUCGACUGCGUGAAGUUGGAAUCGCUAGUAAUCGCGGAUCAGCAUGUCGCGGUGAAUACGUUCCCGGGUCUUGUACACGCCGCCCGUCACACCAUGGGAGUGGGUUUUACCAGAAGUAGUUAGCCUAACCGUAUGAGGGCGAUGACACGGUAGGAUUCAUGACUGGGGUGAAGUCGUAACAAGGUAG